Long non-coding RNA from Xenopus laevis (African clawed frog), 213 nucleotides. RefSeq lists it as uncharacterized. Lineage: Eukaryota; Metazoa; Chordata; Amphibia; Anura; Pipidae. The record is from RefSeq and is a predicted model, not a curated record. The transcript is spliced from 2 exons.
GUGAGCGUGUCCCGCCUCUCCUUUUACAAUCAUAGGAAGCAGAACUAUUCCGCGCCUUACUAACAGAGCUGGGAAUCAGGAGCAGGUGAACAAGGAAGAGACGCUGCGCUGACGCUAUCAGGGCCACUUCCAGGUCAGUCCCUCCCACAAGGAGCCAAUGGGAAUGUGGGAGGAAGCGAGUGACACAGGGAUGAAGGGGAAGAAGAAGGAUAA